UAAUACGUAGGGGGCAAGCGUUGUCCGGAUUUAUUGGGCGUAAAGCGCUCGCAGGUGGUUUGAUGCGUCGUGUGUGAAAGCCCCCGGCUCAACUGGGGAGGGUCAUGCGAUACGGUCAGACUGGAGGCCAGUAGGGGGAUGCGGAAUUCCGGGUGUAGUGGUGGAAUGCGUAGAGAUCCGGAGGAACACCAGCGGCGAAGGCGGCAUCCUGGACUGGUCCUGACACUCAGGAGCGAAAGCGUGGGGAGCGAUCCGGAUUAGAUACCCGGGUAGUCCACGCUGUAAACGAUGAGCACUAGGUGUCGGGGGUAUCGACCCCCUCGGUGCCGCAGCUAACGCGGUAAGUGCUCCGCCUGGGGACUACGGCCGCAAGGCUA
Molecule: ribosomal RNA, 377 nt
Filed under: uncultured bacterium
Lineage: Bacteria
Description: bacterial SSU rRNA
Rfam family: Bacterial small subunit ribosomal RNA
Source: RNAcentral